RNAcentral lists this unclassified non-coding RNA (983 nucleotides) under Hevea brasiliensis (rubber tree). The record is from RNAcentral. Lineage: Eukaryota; Viridiplantae; Streptophyta; Magnoliopsida; Malpighiales; Euphorbiaceae.
GGAAAAGGGACAACCACACUAUUAAAAAAUUAAAGCACUCAAUAAAGCAGAACAAUAAGCUUUAUUAAGGAAUCUAGAUACCUAGUUUCAUUGUCAAGUUGUCUUUUGAGCAACUUUUGAUCUAUAGUUUAACUUAGCUUCCCUUUUUUUUAUCAUUUCAAUCACUUUGCAGAACAAUCAUUGUUUCUGAGGAAUGUUGCUGACUAAACCACCAUGCCGUUGCAUAGCAGCAACUGGUUCACCACAUCUGGGGCAACGAAACGAUGAAGAUGCAGAGCACCUUGUUUGAAGACAGUAGUAACAGUACCUAUGCUGACAAGGGAUAGCUACAAAUGGAAUUGAUGGGGUUCCCUGGCAGAUGGGGCAUAAAGUUUCAUCUACUGAAGAAUCUGAAGAUUUGUCCUUUGAGAAUGGACGAAGGAAACUCUUGACAGAUGCUGAAUUGAGAAGGGGAAGAAGCAAGAGCAGCAGUUCCGAGAAUUCAUUCCAGACCAACUGACGAUUCAUGUACUCAAAGCUCACAGCUCUGUUCAUAUUUGGGCUCCCAUAAACAAGUCUAGCUCUUAAAGCUCUUUCAAUGAGAUUCCUGAACCUUCCUGUGUAAAGAAAGAGAAGUAAAUUGCUAAAAGAUGCUGCUUUAUAGAUACCCUCCAUCCGUUGCAUUAACAACCACACUCCACGUGCCAAGGACCUCUGCUCAGAGUCACCCCAUCUCCGAAAAGCAGAAAAUGAUUGUAGACGAGCCCAUAUAUAUUGACCACCAACUGUUGCAACACAGUACCAUAUCUUUUGAGCAACAGUAAGUCCUGGUCCCUCUAAUCCAGUCCUCACUUUUCCUCUAAUCUCACUUGCACGUUCAUCUCUGUAUCUCAGAUUCAUGAGAGCAUUACCAGGAGUAGGCUUAUCAACCCAGAUAGAAAAUCGCCAGAUUAGAAACUCAAGAAAAGCAUCAAGUUCUGGUUCAUAUUGAAAUAACAUUCCUG